UACGUAGGGUGCGAGCGUUAAUCGGAAUUACUGGGCGUAAAGCGUGCGCAGGCGGUUUGUUAAGUCUGCUGUGAAAUCCCCGAGCUCAACUUGGGAAUUGCAGUGGAUACUGGCAAGCUGGAGUACGGUAGAGGAAGGUGGAAUUCCCGGUGUAGCAGUGAAAUGCGUAGAGAUCGGGAGGAACACCAGUGGCGAAGGCGGCCUUCUGGACCAGUACUGACGCUCAUGCACGAAAGCGUGGGGAGCAAACAGG
RNAcentral lists this ribosomal RNA (253 nucleotides) under uncultured bacterium. Its description in RNAcentral is "partial 16S ribosomal RNA". It matches the Rfam family "Bacterial small subunit ribosomal RNA", at positions 524 to 776 of the family's 1533-position model. The record is from RNAcentral.